RNAcentral lists this ribosomal RNA (463 nucleotides) under uncultured Methylococcales bacterium. Its description in RNAcentral is "bacterial SSU rRNA". It matches the Rfam family "Bacterial small subunit ribosomal RNA", at positions 338 to 794 of the family's 1533-position model. Lineage: Bacteria; Pseudomonadati; Pseudomonadota; Gammaproteobacteria; Methylococcales. The record is from RNAcentral.
CCUACGGGGGGCAGCAGUGGGGAAUAUUGGACAAUGGGCGAAAGCCUGAUCCAGCAAUACCGCGUGUGUGAAGAAGGCCUUAGGGUUGUAAAGCACUUUCAAUUGGGAGGAAAAAUUCGUAGCUAAUAUCUGCGAACUUGACAUUACCUUUAGAAGAAGCACCGGCUAACUCCGUGCCAGCAGCCGCGGUAAUACGGAGGGUGCAAGCGUUAAUCGGAAUUACUGGGCGUAAAGCGUGCGUAGGCGGCUCGUUAAGUCAGAUGUGAAAGCCCUGGGCUCAACCUGGGAACUGCAUUUGAAACUGGCGAGCUAGAGUUUGAGAGAGGUAAGUGGAAUUUCAGGUGUAGCGGUGAAAUGCGUAGAGAUCUGAAGGAACACCAGUGGCGAAGGCGACUUACUGGCUUAAAACUGACGCUGAGGUACGAAAGCGUGGGUAGCAAACAGGAUUAGAUACCCCAGUAGU